This 497-nucleotide ribosomal RNA is filed under the name uncultured bacterium. RNAcentral describes it as "partial 16S ribosomal RNA". It matches the Rfam family "Bacterial small subunit ribosomal RNA", at positions 28 to 507 of the family's 1533-position model. The record is from RNAcentral.
GAUGAACGCUGGCGGCGUGCCUAAUACAUGCAAGUCGAGCGAACGGACGAGAAGCUUGCUUCUCUGAUGUUAGCGGCGGACGGGUGAGUAACACGUGGAUAACCUACCUAUAAGACUGGGAUAACUUCGGGAAACCGUAGCUAAUACCGGAUAAUAUUUUGAACCGCAUGGUUCAAAAGUGAAAGACGGUCUUGCUGUCACUUAUAGAUGGAUCCGCGCUGCAUUAGCUAGUUGGUAAGGUAACGGCUUACCAAGGCAACGAUGCAUAGCCGACCUGAGAGGGUGAUCGGCCACACUGGAACUGAGACACGGUCCAGACUCCUACGGGAGGCAGCAGUAGGGAAUCUUCCGCAAUGGGCGAAAGCCUGACGGAGCAACGCCGCGUGAGUGAUGAAGGUCUUCGGAUCGUAAAACUCUGUUAUUAGGGAAGAACAUAUGUGUAAGUAACUGUGCACAUCUUGACGGUACCUGACCAGAAAGCCACGGCUAACUACGUG